This 125-nucleotide microRNA precursor is filed under the name Brassica napus (rape). RNAcentral's name for it is "MIR9563 microRNA precursor family". It matches the Rfam family "MIR9563 microRNA precursor family". Lineage: Eukaryota; Viridiplantae; Streptophyta; Magnoliopsida; Brassicales; Brassicaceae. The record is from Rfam by way of RNAcentral.
GGAAGUUAAGAAACCGUUUCUUAACUUUUAACUAAAAAAGCUAAGAACCGGUUCUUAAAUAAGGACUUUAAGAACCAGUUCUUAGCUUUUUUAGUUAAAAGUUAAGAAACAGUUUCUUAACUUCC